GUGGGGAAUAUUGCGCAAUGGGGGAAACCCUGACGCAGCAACGCCGCGUGAGUGAUGAAGGUCCUCGGAUCGUAAAGCUCUGUCGGCAGGAACGAUGGGUCAUGUGGCUAACAUCCACGCGACUUGACGGUACCUGCAAAGGAAGCACCGGCUAACUCUGUGCCAGCAGCCGCGGUAAGACAGAGGGUGCAAGCGUUGUUCGGAAUCAUUGGGCGUAAAGGGCGCGUAGGCGGUCAGGUAAGUCAACUGUGAAAGCCCAGGGCUCAACCUUGGAAGUGCAGCUGAAACUACCUGACUUGAGUCUCGGAGAGGGUGGUGGAAUUCCCAGUGUAGAGGUGAAAUUCGUAGAUAUUGGGAGGAACACCGGUGGCGAAGGCGACCACCUGGACGAUGACUGACGCUGAGGCGCGAGAGCGUGGGGAGCAAACAGG
This 431-nucleotide ribosomal RNA is filed under the name uncultured bacterium. Its description in RNAcentral is "bacterial SSU rRNA". It matches the Rfam family "Bacterial small subunit ribosomal RNA", at positions 354 to 776 of the family's 1533-position model. The record is from RNAcentral.